RNAcentral lists this long non-coding RNA (229 nucleotides) under Hordeum vulgare. RNAcentral's name for it is "long non-coding RNA (HVUL_LNC010500)". Lineage: Eukaryota; Viridiplantae; Streptophyta; Magnoliopsida; Poales; Poaceae. The record is from RNAcentral.
GUAGAUAGAAAAUAAAUAAUAGAAAAAAAUAGAUAGAAAAUAAAAAACUUAGAAGAAAAAAGUAGAAGAAGAAGAAGAAAAGAAGAAGAAGAAGAAAGAGGAGAGGAGGAGAAAGAGAAAAGAAAGAAGAAAUAGAAGAAGAGGAGGAGGAGGAGAAAAAAGAAUAAUAAUAAUAAUAAUAAUAAUAAUAAUAAUAAUAAGAAGAAGAAGAAGAAGAAGAAUAAGAAGA